RNAcentral lists this ribosomal RNA (253 nucleotides) under uncultured bacterium. Its description in RNAcentral is "partial 16S ribosomal RNA". It matches the Rfam family "Bacterial small subunit ribosomal RNA", at positions 524 to 776 of the family's 1533-position model. The record is from RNAcentral.
UACGGAGGAUGCAAGCGUUAUCCGGAAUGAUUGGGCGUAAAGGGUCCGCAAGUGGCAAUGUAAGUCUGCUGUCAAAGAAUGAGGCUUAACCUCAUCAAGGCAGUGGAAACUACAUAGCUAGAGUACGGUCGGGGUAGAAGGAAUUCCUGGUGUAGCGGUGAAAUGCGUAGAGAUCAGGAAGAACACCGGUGGCGAAAGCGUUCUGCUAGACCUGUACUGACACUGAGGGACGAAAGCUAGGGGAGCGAAUGGG